RNAcentral lists this ribosomal RNA (531 nucleotides) under Copelatus sp. MB5345. RNAcentral describes it as "SSU rRNA". It matches the Rfam family "Eukaryotic small subunit ribosomal RNA", at positions 8 to 509 of the family's 1831-position model. Lineage: Eukaryota; Metazoa; Arthropoda; Insecta; Coleoptera; Dytiscidae. The record is from RNAcentral.
UUGAUCCUGCCAGUAGUCAUAUGCUUGUCUCAAAGAUUAAGCCAUGCAUGUCUCAGUACAAGCCACAUUAAGGUGAAACCGCGAAAGGCUCAUUAAAUCAGUUAUGGUUCCUUAGAUCGUACCCACAUUUACUUGGAUAACUGUGGUAAUUCUAGAGCUAAUACAUGCAAACAGAGUUCCGACCGGAGACGGGAGGAAUGCUUUUAUUAGAUCAAAACCAAUCGGCGGCGGGUGCGCUCGCGCGCCCGUUCGCCGCUCAACCUGGUGACUCUGAAUAACUUUCGGCUGAUCGCACGGUCUAGCACCGGCGACGCAUCUUUCAAAUGUCUGCCUUAUCAACUGUCGAUGGUAGGUUCUGCGCCUACCAUGGUCGUAACGGGUAACGGGGAAUCAGGGUUCGAUUCCGGAGAGGGAGCCUGAGAAACGGCUACCACAUCCAAGGAAGGCAGCAGGCGCGCAAAUUACCCACUCCCGGCACGGGGAGGUAGUGACGAAAAAUAACGAUACGGGACUCAUCCGAGGCCCCGUAAU